UGUGGUGACGAUAGUGAGAAGGAUAUACCUGUUCCCAUGUCGAACACAGAAGUCAAGCUUCUUAACGCCAAGAGUAG
Molecule: ribosomal RNA, 77 nt
Filed under: Lacticaseibacillus rhamnosus
Lineage: Bacteria; Bacillati; Bacillota; Bacilli; Lactobacillales; Lactobacillaceae
Source: RNAcentral